UCUGUGGGAUCAGUGGCGAACGGGUGAGUAACACGUGAGCAACCUGCCCCUGACUCUGGGAUAAGCGCUGGAAACGGCGUCUAAUACUGGAUAUGUGACGUGACCGCAUGGUCUGCGUCUGGAAAGAAUUUCGGUUGGGGAUGGGCUCGCGGCCUAUCAGCUUGUUGGUGAGGUAAUGGCUCACCAAGGCGUCGACGGGUAGCCGGCCUGAGAGGGUGACCGGCCACACUGGGACUGAGACACGGCCCAGACUCCUACGGGAGGCAGCAGUGGGGAAUAUUGCACAAUGGGCGCAAGCCUGAUGCAGCAACGCCGCGUGAGGGACGACGGCCUUCGGGUUGUAAACCUCUUUUAGCAGGGAAGAAGCGAAAGUGACGGUACCUGCAGAAAAAGCGCCGGCUAACUACGUGCCAGCAGCCGCGGUAAUACGUAGGGCGCAAGCGUUAUCCGGAAUUAUUGGGCGUAAAGAGCUCGUAGGCGGUUUGUCGCGUCUGCUGUGAAAUCCGGAGGCUCAACCUCCGGCCUGCAGUGGGUACGGGCAGACUAGAGUGCGGUAGGGGAGAUUGGAAUUCUGGUGUAGCGGUGGAAUGCGCAGAUAUCAGGA
This 604-nucleotide ribosomal RNA is filed under the name PAH-contaminated sludge bacterium PB-26. RNAcentral's name for it is "bacterial SSU rRNA". It matches the Rfam family "Bacterial small subunit ribosomal RNA", at positions 83 to 702 of the family's 1533-position model. Lineage: Bacteria; Bacillati; Actinomycetota; Actinomycetes; Micrococcales; Microbacteriaceae. The record is from RNAcentral.